GGAGGUCCGAACCCACGAGCGUUGAAAAGCUCGGGGAUGACUUGUGGGUAGCGGUGAAAUUCCAAUCGAGCCCGGAGAUAGCUGGUUCUCCCCGAAAUAGCUUUAGGGCUAGCCUCAAGGUGAGAGAUACGGAGGUAGAGCACUGAAUGUCCUAGGGGGUAUUGCACCUACCGAAGACUAUCAAACUCCGAAUGCCGUCAUCAUAUACUAUGCAGCCAGACUGUGGGUGAUAAGAUUCAUAGUCGAAAGGGCAACAGCCCAGAUCGUCAGCUAAGGUCCCUAAAUGUAAGUUAAGUGGUAAAGGAUGUGGGAUUGCACAGACAACCAGGAUGUUGGCUUAGAAGCAGCCACUCAUUCAAAGAGUGCGUAAUAGCUCACUGGUCGAGUGAUCCUGCGCCGAAGAUUUCCGGGGCUAAAACUUACUACCGAAGCUACGGCAUCAGUAAUGAUGGGUAGGGGAGCUUCCCAUACGGGUUGAAGCAUGACCGUAAGGACAUGUGGACAGUAUGGGAGUGAGAAUGUUGGCAUGAGUAGCGAGAUGUGGGUGAGAAUCCCACAGGCCGUAAACCCAAGGUUUCCAGGGGAAGGUUCGUCCGCCCUGGGUUAGUCGGGACCUAAGCUGAGGCCGAAAGGCGUAGGUGAUGGACAACAGGUUGAUAUUCCUGUACUACCGAUAACCGUUUGAGAGAUGGGAUGACACAGUAGGAUAAGCUAAGCACACUGUUGGUUAUGUGUGCCCAAGCAUUGAGGCAGUCAAAGUAGGCAAAUCCGCUUUGAUAAUGCUGGGAUGUGAUGGGGAGCGAAAUUUAGUAGCGAAGUAGCUGAUUUCACACUGUCAAGAAAAGUCUCUAUCGAGGUUAAAGGUACCCGUACCGCAAACCGACACAGGUGGGUGAGGAGAGUAUCCUAAGGCCAGCGAGAGAACUGUUGUUAAGGAACUCGGCAAAAUGACCCCGUAACUUAGGGAUAAGGGGUGCCACCAUCAGGUGGCCGCAGAGAAUAGGCCCAAGCGACUGUUUACCAAAAACAUAGGUUUCUGCUAAGUCGCAAGACGAUGUAUAGGAGCUGACGCCUGCCCGGUGCUGGAAGGUUAAGGGGAUCUGUUAGAGCAAUCGAAGCAGUGAACUUAAGCCCCAGUAAACGGCGGCCGUAACUAUAACGGUCCUAAGGUAGCGAAAUUCCUUGUCGGGUAAGUUCCGACCCGCACGAAAGGCGUAACGAUUUGGGCACUGUCUCA
RNAcentral lists this ribosomal RNA (1237 nucleotides) under Clostridioides difficile. RNAcentral describes it as "bacterial LSU rRNA". It matches the Rfam family "Bacterial large subunit ribosomal RNA", at positions 768 to 2023 of the family's 2925-position model. The record is from RNAcentral. Lineage: Bacteria; Bacillati; Bacillota; Clostridia; Peptostreptococcales; Peptostreptococcaceae.